UACGUAGGGUGCAAGCGUUGUCCGGAAUUAUUGGGCGUAAAGAGCUCGUAGGCGGUCUGUUGCGUCCGCUGUGAAAACUCGGGGCUUAACCCCGAGCCUGCAGUGGAUACGGGCAGACUAGAGGUAGGUAGGGGAGAAUGGAAUUCCCGGUGUAGCGGUGAAAUGCGCAGAUAUCAGGAGGAACACCCGUGGCGAAAGCGGCUCUCUGGGACGGUACUGACGCUGAGACGCGAAAGCGUGGGGAGCAAACAGG
This 253-nucleotide ribosomal RNA is filed under the name uncultured bacterium. RNAcentral's name for it is "partial 16S ribosomal RNA". It matches the Rfam family "Bacterial small subunit ribosomal RNA", at positions 524 to 776 of the family's 1533-position model. The record is from RNAcentral.